Molecule: ribosomal RNA, 441 nt
Filed under: uncultured Alphaproteobacteria bacterium
Lineage: Bacteria; Pseudomonadati; Pseudomonadota; Alphaproteobacteria
Description: bacterial SSU rRNA
Rfam family: Bacterial small subunit ribosomal RNA
Source: RNAcentral
GCCUAACACAUGCAAGUCGAACGGGCACCUUCGGGUGUCAGUGGCAGACGGGUGAGUAACACAUGGGAACGUACCCUUUGGUUCGGAACAACUCCGGGAAACUGGAGCUAAUACCGGAUAAGUCCUUCGGGGGAAAGAUUUAUCGCCAAAGGAUCGGCCCGCGUCUGAUUAGCUUGUUGGUGAGGUAAUGGCUCACCAAGGCGACGAUCAGUAGCUGGUCUGAGAGGGUGACCGGCCACACUGGGACUGAGACACGGCCCAGACUCCUACGGGAGGCAGCAGUGGGGAAUCUUGCGCAAUGCGCGAAAGCGUGACGCAGCAACGCCGCGUGCGGGAAGACGGCCUUCGGGUUGUAAACCGCUUUCAGUUCCGACGAAGCGCAAGUGACGGUAGGAACAGAAGAAGGACCGGCCAACUACGUGCCAACAACCGCGGUAAUAC